UUAAAUGAAGCAGAUUGCAUUUAACUGUUAAUUAAAAGGAAACCUAUAAGGUCAUUUAAA
RNAcentral lists this transfer RNA (60 nucleotides) under Galba truncatula. Its description in RNAcentral is "tRNA-Asn". Lineage: Eukaryota; Metazoa; Mollusca; Gastropoda; Lymnaeidae. The record is from RNAcentral.